This 489-nucleotide ribosomal RNA is filed under the name uncultured bacterium. Its description in RNAcentral is "partial 16S ribosomal RNA". It matches the Rfam family "Bacterial small subunit ribosomal RNA", at positions 28 to 507 of the family's 1533-position model. The record is from RNAcentral.
GAUGAACGCUAGCUACAGGCUUAACACAUGCAAGUCGAGGGGCAGCAUGAACUUAGCUUGCUAAGUUUGAUGGCGACCGGCGCACGGGUGAGUAACACGUAUCCAACCUGCCGAUGACUCGGGGAUAGCCUUUCGAAAGAAAGAUUAAUACCCGAUGGCAUAGUUCUUCCGCAUGGUAGAACUAUUAAAGAAUUUCGGUCAUCGAUGGGGAUGCGUUCCAUUAGGUUGUUGGCGGGGUAACGGCCCACCAAGCCUUCGAUGGAUAGGGGUUCUGAGAGGAAGGUCCCCCACAUGGGAACUGAGACACGGGCCAAACUCCUACGGGAGGCAGCAGUGAGGAAUAUUGGUCAAUGGACGAGAGUCUGAACCAGCCAAGUAGCGUGAAGGAUGACUGCCCUAUGGGUUGUAAACUUCUUUUAUACGGGAAUAAAGUGAGGCACGGGUGCCUUUUUGUAUGUACCGGAUGAAUAAGGAUCGGCUAACUCCGUG